Molecule: long non-coding RNA, 524 nt
Organism: Macrosteles quadrilineatus (aster leafhopper)
Lineage: Eukaryota; Metazoa; Arthropoda; Insecta; Hemiptera; Cicadellidae
Exons: 2
Source: RefSeq, a predicted model, not a curated record
UUAUUUUACGCAAUUUGUAUGCACUACUGUAUUACAUGCAGUCAAAAAUAUAUGACAUAUAUUUCCAAACUGCGACUGCCCCCCCCCUCUGGAUCCGCCACUGGGGUGCAGGAGUACUAUACCAGAAGAGCACAAAAUAUAGACUUUUCCUGCUGUCGUCUCAAACGUACCUAGAAUAGCUAUCCUCGUUCUACUAUUAACUACAACUCAUAACUGCCUACUCAUUUGCAGGAGAUGGAUGCACCCUCCUUCAGAAGGCGCUGAAAGGAAUACUAAUUAUAGGCCGCUGUACUCCGUAAAAGAACUUAAGGAAGAGCACCCUAGUGAGAUAAGUGUAUGUCUGCCAUAUCAUCCGUUAAACAGCCAGAUUUUUGAAGGAAGAAAGAUCUAGCCCCAGCUCUGGACAAAAAUAUUAUGGAGAAGGUUGGCCGCUGUACAGGGCAGCUAUAGUUAUUAUUAUAUGUUGCCUUUUAUUGUUAUAUACUGUUUUUAUACUUUACCAAUAAACCUUAUAUUUAUCUAUA